Molecule: ribosomal RNA, 301 nt
Filed under: uncultured bacterium
Lineage: Bacteria
Description: partial 16S ribosomal RNA
Rfam family: Bacterial small subunit ribosomal RNA
Source: RNAcentral
CAGCCGCCGCGGUAAUACGAAGGGGGCUAGCGUUGUUCGGAUUUACUGGGCGUAAAGCGCACGUAGGCGGAUCGAUCAGUCAGGGGUGAAAUCCCAGAGCUCAACUCUGGAACUGCCUUUGAUACUGUCGAUCUGGAGUAUGGAAGAGGUGAGUGGAAUUCCGAGUGUAGAGGUGAAAUUCGUAGAUAUUCGGAGGAACACCAGUGGCGAAGGCGGCUCACUGGUCCAUUACUGACGCUGAGGUGCGAAAGCGUGUGGAGCAAACAGGAUUAGAUACCCCCGUAGUCCCUGUCUCUUAUAC